AUGGAGCGGGUGCUCUGCUUCGAAUAUAUGCAUGGCGGAAGCCUUGAUAAACACAUUGAAGAUGAAGCUUGCGGGCUUGAGUGGCCCACAUGUUACAAGAUUAUUAAAGGGACUUGUGAGGGAAUAAAUUACCUUCACAACUCCCAGGAAAGGCAUAUUUACCAUCUGAACUUAAAGCCUGGUAAUAUUUUGCUGGAUAAAAGUAUGACCCCCAAGAUUGCAGAUCUUGGUUUGUCAAGACUUGUUGAUUCAAUAGAAACAGAUGAACCAGAUAUGCGCCAGGGAACACUUUGGGACGGUGGCGUGCCGGAAGGGCUGUCUUGCGAGUUGACCGGAGUGGGAGUACACCAGAGAGGCUUCUGA
RNAcentral lists this ribosomal RNA (363 nucleotides) under Triticum aestivum (bread wheat). Its description in RNAcentral is "partial small subunit ribosomal RNA". Lineage: Eukaryota; Viridiplantae; Streptophyta; Magnoliopsida; Poales; Poaceae. The record is from RNAcentral.